UUCUGAAAGAUCAGCAACAUUUCUGAAACUAGACAAAUUCCUCGAAGUUGAACUGCAAAUCCUUUUAGGAGUGGAAGAUGAUAUUCAGUGGAUCAAGGAUGAGCUCAAAGGCAUGAAAGUGUUCCUAAAUAUUGCUGAUAAAAAAAGAGAGACAGGUCAAUUGGUGGGCACUUGGGUUGGACAAGUGCGAGAUGUGGCCUACGGUACUGAGGAUAUCCUUGACAUAUUCCUCCUCCAAAUUGCAAGUAUGCGAAGGAGGAGGAGAGGAUUUGCAGGCUGUUUGAUCUCACGUGUUUCCUCUACUAAGGAACAUCACAUCAAGCAUGGGUUGCAACUAAGAUACAGAGUAUUAAAGCUCGUGUCGAUGACAUUGGCAAGAGAAGGAACAAGCUCAACCUUCAAAUGCUUUGGCAAGCAGACGUUGUUGGAAUUGAGGGGAAAGUGAAAUUAGUGAAAGGAUGGCUGCUAGACUGUGACCAACAACUCAAGGUAAUCUCUAUCUUAGGCAUGGGUGGAUUAGGGGAAACUAUUCUUGCCAAAAGAAUUUGUUAAGAAACUGUUUGUUCGUUGUUCAUUGGUUACCAUAUCACAAUCAUUCAACAAAAUAGAGAAUUUGAAUGCUAUUCUAAGAGGAUUCGAUAAACAUCAUGUAGAGAAAAAGAAAUAGGGCAUUUGCAAAAAAACCUAUAUGCACAUGUACAAGACAAUAGGUGCCUUGUGGUGUUAGAUGAUGUGUGGAAGGAGGAUAUGUGGGGAGUGGUGCACAAUGACGGAAGCAAAUUCACUAUAAAAUAUCGUACUUUUGAAGUCAUUUCACCAUUGUGCAUAUUGAGCAAAGUCUAUCGGCUGGAACAAGUAACAACAUAAGAAGCAUGGUCUCUCUUUUGCAAGAAGGUAUUAUUUUGGGGGGGAGAAUGGUAACUCAUGUCUGUUGAAAUUGGAGGAAGUUGUGAGGCUCAUUGUUAAGGAAUGUGAGGGUACCCCCUUGUAAUUGUGGCCAUUGGAAGAAUGACGUUUCAGAAACCCAAAACGAUUGAUGCUUGGGAUAGGGUUUACCGUAGUGUUGGAUGAAAACUAGAUAGGCAUAAAGAUGUGAGGAGCAUUCUUAUACUAAGUUAUCAGGAUUUAUCACCUUUUCUAAAGUACUGUUUUUUAUAUUGUUGCUUGUUCUAAGAAGACUAUGAGAUUUCCCGUUCAAAGUUGAUUAGACUAUGGGCUGAUGGGGGAUUCCUUGAAGGAAAGAGAUGAAUAACAAAUAUGGAAGUAUCCGAUGAUUGCUUUAAAGAGUCGCUAGAUCGGAGCUUGAUUCACAUGGCAAAAACCGGUAAGACUGGGAAGGUCAAAGCCAUUCAUGUCCACGAUGUGGUAUGAAAACUUGGUCUUUCGUUACUAGAGAAAGAGUGGUUUGGAACAUUUUGGAAUUGGAAAAAUAUCAGAUUUGAGGGUAGAAUUCCGCACAUCUCUAUCCAAAAUGAUGUUUCAUCUCUGUUAUUCCUCUUUUUCUUUCUAUGAAUCCCUCUCUAUAUAGUCUAAUCAACUUUGAAUGGGGAAUCUCAUAGUCUUCUGGGAACAAGCAACAAUAUAGAAAACAAUACUUCAGAAAAGGUGAUAAUUCCCGGUAACUUAGUGUCAGAAUGCCCCUCACAUCCUUAUGCAUAUCUAGUUCCAUGUAAGACUACGGUGAACCCUAUCCCAAGCAUCAAUCAUUUUAGGUCUUUCGAAUAUCAUUCUUCCAAUACCUCACUGCCCAUAGUCCAAAAUGAUAGGACUCCGUACAUUGCAGGUUUCAUAUUGUAGGGGUUGCCUCAGGGCUGCCAAUACCUCACUGCCCUUGAAGACUUGCAUCUUGGGGAGAUGGGUGAAGGAUUGUGAGCCUAUUAAAGAGAUUCAGGUGAAGAACGUCUCAAAGUGCAACAGCAACACAUCCCCUCUGUUCGGCUUUGCCACAUAAAAGAUGAGGAAUUCGUUUGUGAACCUUUUGUAGAGGUGGGGAACAGGUUUAAUGGAGAUUUGUAGAAAGCGUUUGUUCCCUCCUCAAGCUCAAUGGUACUUCUCUGCCUUCAAUGUCCUUCAAAAUAGAGGCUAUUCAUUAUUUAGUACCCUAUCCAUCCUUCUAGUUCUUUUUCUUGGACCAUGUUCUCCUUUGCUGGCCUUUGUAGGCUACAGAUGCUUGUGUUUCUUACCAGUCUCUUAUUACUAUCCCAUCUCACAAUGCUCGAAGGUUUUGAACCUGUAAUGAGAGUUAGACGCAGCCAUGUAUUUUACAGCUCAAAUGCAGAUGACAUGUUUCCCCUCUAAAGUUAAUCUUUAUGCUGUUCGAUUGGCUUAGUGUAUUUUGAUUUUGAAUAAAUUUAGACAUUUCUCCAUCCAAGGUAAAUGGUAAGAAGCAAGAAAAAAAUAAUAAUCUGAUCAUGCUGUUAAGGUAGUUGAAAGUGAUUACCUAUGGCAGUAAUUGGCUGGUUCAGAAUGAAUUUAUCCCUUUUGAUAAUUGAGUCCUUCUGAUUAUUGAUUAAUUAUUUGCAUUACCCUUCAAUUGCUGUUAAUAUACGAUAUAGGCCGCUUGUAACAAUCCUAAACUUU
Amborella trichopoda is the source of this 2580-nucleotide non-coding RNA. The record is from RefSeq and is a predicted model, not a curated record. NCBI's taxonomy places the organism in Eukaryota, Viridiplantae, Streptophyta, Magnoliopsida, Amborellales, Amborellaceae.